GCCAAUAGGAGCAUCUCAUGUGAGGAAGCUGAAGACAUGGCGCUGCGCAUAGGACGUGCUUACAGAAGAGAGUCUGUGUUUUUUCAGAAGCACACGCAGGAGAUUGAUGCCGCAGAAACACAUGCAGUACCAUGUCCUACCACGUGAGGGCGAGGGUCAUAACAGUGCCAUUUGUUUGGUCUGAGACUCUGGUUGUUCUGUUCAAAGAGACACAUGGGCUGCCUUCAUAUCCACAAAGCUGGAGACAGAGUCUUUCUGACCCGUAUCCUCCCUGCGCUGGGCCUCAGCCACCUGUGGUGCAGCUAGACCAUCCAUCUUUCCCCUAUACACACACACACACACACACACACACACACACACACAUGCUGCUAUGGGCUGUGCCCCGUAGUCAUUGCGUAAGCAUCCUGACAUCUUAAUGUAAGAGUUAAAGGAAUAGUCUCUCAAAAAUAAAAAUUGUCAUAAUUUACUCACCUUCAUGUAGUUCCAAAACUGUAUGACUUUCUAUCUUUCGUGGAACAAAUAUAGAAAAUAUAGAAAAAAAAUCUUUACACUGCCCU
This 557-nucleotide long non-coding RNA is filed under the name Sinocyclocheilus anshuiensis. Its description in RNAcentral is "lncRNA (ENSSANG00000040263.1)". Lineage: Eukaryota; Metazoa; Chordata; Actinopteri; Cypriniformes; Cyprinidae. The record is from RNAcentral.